CCUGGCGGCCUUAGCGCGGUGGUCCCACCUGACCCCAUGCCGAACUCAGAAGUGAAACGCCGUAGCGCCGAUGGUAGUGUGGGGUCUCCCCAU
Molecule: ribosomal RNA, 93 nt
Filed under: Pseudomonas aeruginosa
Lineage: Bacteria; Pseudomonadati; Pseudomonadota; Gammaproteobacteria; Pseudomonadales; Pseudomonadaceae
Also listed under: 13 other names
Source: RNAcentral